Molecule: RNA transcript, 1497 nt
Organism: Thamnophis elegans (Western terrestrial garter snake)
Lineage: Eukaryota; Metazoa; Chordata; Lepidosauria; Squamata; Natricidae
Gene name: transcription factor SKN7-like
Exons: 5
Source: RefSeq, a predicted model, not a curated record
GCCACGAACGGCGGGGGUCGGGGACGCGCGGAGGCCCCUCCCCUCGGGCGCCCCACGUGGCCGGCGGCGGCGGUGGCGGCGCCCGGCCGGUGUGUCUCCCCGCAGGCGGCGCUGGCCGGUCCGGCGGGUAGGAGACGCGCCCGGCAACUUCCCGCGCGCCAAACCCUCCAGGGCCCCGGCACGUUCGGAAGCGAAGCGCCCGCGCCGCCCUUUGUUUCCCGCGCACGGCCGAGGGGCGUCCCUGGAAACAGCAGCCCCCCCCCCCGCCCCACCCCACCCGCUCUGCUGGCCGGGCCUGCGAGACGCGGCCCCCAAUGAGCGCCGGGGGCGGAGCCACGCGCGCCCCGCCCUCCACGGGCCGCUCGGGGGGCGCGACGCAGGCGCGUGGGGGCGGGGCCUGGCUCUGGCGCCCGUCCCGUCCGAGGGCCGCCGCUCCGCGCAGGGACCGGAGCGUAAUGCGCGUGGGCGCCGGGGGGGGGGCGGCGGGAGGGGCGGGGGCAGAGCUGCUCCUGCGGAGAUUAGGACCCUCGAGGCGGCUGCACCGGAAAAUCUCUCUCUCUCACACACACACACACACACCACACACUAGCCAGCCCGGGCCUGGCAAGCCGCCCGGCAGCCUCCCCGGGACGCCGACCUGGCCUCGGCUCCCCCCCCUCUCGCCCACCACGGCCCCGUUGGCGUCGCCUUCCGGCCGCGGCUUCUCCGCCGGCGCCCGGACAGCGGCCCUUGGGCUCUUCUCGAGCGCCGCCGCCGCCGCCGCCGCGUUGACCGGCGAUGGGCGGGGCAAGGGCAAGCCACGCCCUGCGCGGAGGGAUCCCGGGCAGGCGGCGCGACGUGGCGGUGCUGCGACCCCUCAGAGUUCGCCGGCGGAGGCCGCGCUUUCCGCCAGGGAGGGAGGCGGCGCACGUCGCCCGCCUGUCGCGGCCGCCCUCGGAGCGGGCGGCCGGUGGGUGCCCGUCCCGCAGGUGGCGGCGGCGGCGGCGGCGGCCAAGAUGAACCAGCAGCAGCAGCAGCAGCGCCUGGCCGCCAUCGGCACCGACAAGGAGCUAAGCGACCUGCUGGACUUCAGCGCGAUGUUCUCGCCCCCCGUCAACAGCGGGAAGGCCCGGCCCACCACGCUGGGGAGCAGCCGCUUCGGCGGGGCAGCAUAUCCGUCUACAAAAUCAGUUGACCCCCAUCUGCAAGUAUCAGUCAGCCUCUUUCACAAACAAACCGGCCACUGUCCAGGAAUGGAAGCUGUUGCAACUAGUGAGUUUUCGUGAAGAGAGAGAGAAAAAGAAUGAUGAACAAACCUGGAUAAAGAGAAGGCGAGAAGAAGAAGAUGAUGUUAUGAGCUAGUAGGAGUGAAAAGGGGAAGAUGAUAAGGGAACAACUGUACCCAAGCGUCUUGGAGGAUAUAGAAGAACUCCAUGAAACAGAAUAAGCAAGUAUGGAGGACACGAGCAGGGGUGAUAUCUUGGGAUGCAAGCAGUCAGUCAAGUCCUUCCUAUGAAC